RNAcentral lists this ribosomal RNA (465 nucleotides) under uncultured bacterium. RNAcentral describes it as "partial 16S ribosomal RNA". It matches the Rfam family "Bacterial small subunit ribosomal RNA", at positions 28 to 507 of the family's 1533-position model. The record is from RNAcentral.
GAUGAACGCUGGCGGCGUGCUUAACACAUGCAAGUCGAACGGAAAGGCUCCUGCUUGCAGGGGUACUCGAGUGGCGAACGGGUGAGUAACACGUGGGUGAUCUGCCCUGCACUUCGGGAUAAGCCUGGGAAACUGGGUCUAAUACCGGAUAGGACCACAUUUUGGAUGGUGUGGUGGAAAGUUUUUCGGUGUGGGAUGAGCUCGCGGCCUAUCAGCUUGUUGGUGGGGUAAUGGCCUACCAAGGCGUCGACGGGUAGCCGGCCUGAGAGGGUGUACGGCCACAUUGGGACGGAGAUAAGGCCCAGACUCCUACGGGAGGCAGCAGUGGGGAAUAUUGCACAAUGGGCGCAAGCCUGAUGCAGCGACGCCGCGUGGGGGAUGACGGCCUUCGGGUUGUAAACUCCUUUCGCUAGGGACGAAGCGCAAGUGACGGUACCUGGAGAAGAAGCACCGGCUAACUACGUG